This is a long non-coding RNA of Lynx canadensis (Canada lynx), 1058 nucleotides long. RefSeq lists it as uncharacterized. NCBI's taxonomy places the organism in Eukaryota, Metazoa, Chordata, Mammalia, Carnivora, Felidae. The transcript is spliced from 4 exons. The record is from RefSeq and is a predicted model, not a curated record.
ACCCUAUGAUCCUGCAAUUCUGCUUCUGGGUAUCUAUCCAAAGCACACGAAAACACCGUCUCGAAAAGAUAGGUGCACCCCCUGUUUGUUGCAGCGUGCUUUACUACGGCCAAGAUAGUAUAGAGAAAGGAAUAUUACUCCGCCAUAAAAAAUAAUGGAACCUUGCCAUUUGCAAUGGCAUGGAUGGACCUCGGGGGCGUCAUGUGGAAUGAAGUAAGUCAGACAGAGAAAAAGAUACCUUGUUGAUCAAACAUCACACUGCAUUAACACUGGGGUCUAUUUCUGGCCUUUCUGUCCUGUUUCCUUCGUGGAUUCUCAGGUCUCAGAUUCUCCGGUUCGGCGUGGAGGACACGAAGGAGGGUGAGGGAGGGACGUUGUCCUCCAGUUCACGGCUGGCGAGCAGAGAAGUGGGGCCAGUGUGGACACCCUGCCAUUCUCUAAUGGAGAUCUGCUUCGAGUGUUGUGUUUCUGAUGUUUCCGGUGACCUACAGGAGGGCGUGUGGCUGAACAACGAGGACAGACCGCUCUACACUCUGCGUCUUUGUAUAGACCCUGCUGGGCACGCUGUUUGACGUUCUAGAGACCCUUUGAUAGGAACUGUACAUCGGAGCGACGUUUCUGUGAAACGAAACAGAUGCACUGACCACACGGAACCGAUUCUGUUUACCUUGCCCGCUGUUAUGAGGACCGCGGCUUGCGAGGCAACGUAUAAACACGUUCUCUGCUCUGACCUUCUGUAUUAGAGAAGAGCUGUAUGGAAGGCUGAAGAUGUCCUGAGCAUCCGAGCACGAGAAUACCUCAGCAUCAGAGAUCAAGGAGAAGAGCCACGUUUCCAUCGGACUGGACGGUCCCCUGCUGUCCACCGGCCUCGGCAUCUCUGCUCUCCAGACAUUUAAAGACACUGUCAACGGCAUCCGGGAUUGGCAAAGGACAGGUGCAGGUCAGAUCUGGCCGGUGGCCUCCCUUACCCAACCUCUCGUGGCAAGAAUGGCUUUUACAUUUUUAUUAUUAUCAGUUUAUACAUUUUUUGAAGUUUAUUUUUGAGAGAGAGACAAAGA